CCUACGGGCGGCUGCAGUGGGGAAUAUUGGACAAUGGGGGGAACCCUGAUCCAGCCAUGCCGCGUGUGUGAAGAAGGCCCUCGGGUUGUAAAGCACUUUCAGUGAGGAAGAACGCCUGGUGGUUAAUACCCAUCAGGAAAGACAUCACUCACAGAAGAAGCACCGGCUAACUCCGUGCCAGCAGCCGCGGUAAUACGGAGGGUGCGAGCGUGAAUCGGAAUUACUGGGCGUAAAGCGCGCGUAGGUGGCUUGAUAAGCCGGUUGUGAAAGCCCCGGGCUCAACCUGGGAACGGCAUCCGGAACUGUCAAGCUAGAGGGCAGGAGAGGAAGGUAGAAUUCCCGGUGUAGCGGUGAAAUGCGUAGAGAUCGGGAGGAAUACCAGUGGCGAAGGCGGCCUUCUGGACUGACACUGACACUGAGGUGCGAAAGCGUGGGUAGCAAACAGGAUUAGAUACCCGAGUAGUC
This 465-nucleotide ribosomal RNA is filed under the name Vreelandella stevensii. RNAcentral describes it as "partial 16S ribosomal RNA". It matches the Rfam family "Bacterial small subunit ribosomal RNA", at positions 338 to 795 of the family's 1533-position model. Lineage: Bacteria; Pseudomonadati; Pseudomonadota; Gammaproteobacteria; Oceanospirillales; Halomonadaceae. The record is from RNAcentral.